RNAcentral lists this ribosomal RNA (433 nucleotides) under uncultured bacterium. RNAcentral's name for it is "partial 16S ribosomal RNA". It matches the Rfam family "Bacterial small subunit ribosomal RNA", at positions 29 to 507 of the family's 1533-position model. The record is from RNAcentral.
AACGAACGCUGGCGGCAUGCCUAACACAUGCAAGUCGAACGAGACCUUCGGGUCUAGUGUCGCACGGGGGCGUAACGCGUGGGAACCUGCCCUUAUGGUCGGAAUAACUCCCCGAAAGGGGUGCUAAUACCGGAUAAUGGCUUCGGACCAAAGAUUUAUGGCCUUUGGUUGUGCCCGCGUUGGAUUAGCUAGUUGGUAGGGUAAAAGCCUACCAAGGCGACGAUCCAUAGCUGGUCUGAGAGGAUGAUCAGCCACACUGGGACUGAGACACGGCCCAGACUCCUACGGGAGGCAGCAGUGGGGAAUAUUGGAACAUGGGCGAAAGCCUGAUCCAGCAAUGCCGCGUGAGUGAUGAAGGCAUUAGGGUUGUAAAGCUCUUUUACCCGGGAUGAUAAUGACAGUACCGGGAGAAUAAGCUCCGGCUAACUCCGUG